Molecule: ribosomal RNA, 1475 nt
Filed under: uncultured Glomeromycotina
Lineage: Eukaryota; Fungi; Glomeromycota
Description: eukaryotic LSU rRNA
Rfam family: Eukaryotic large subunit ribosomal RNA (bases 713-1475)
Source: RNAcentral
CCUAGUAAGCGUGAGUCAUCAGCUCGCGUUGAUUACGUCCCUGCCCUUUGCACACACCGCCCGUCGCUACUACCGAUUGAAUGGCUUAGUGGGACCCUCGGAUUGUAGGUUGUGUCGUUGGCAACAACACACGACUCGCGAGAAGUUGGUCAAACUUGGUCAUUUAGAGGAAGUAAAAGUCGUAACAAGGUUUCCGUAGGUGAACCUGCGGAAGGAUCAUUAAAAAAGGGUCUUUUUUGACCCAUUUUUAAAAACCUACUACCAAUUCUUACCCAUCGGGUCAGAUGGAAGUGGGUUUUUUUCAAACUCCAAAAUUUUUUAACUAUUCGUCUUGAUGACGAAAACCCAAAAUUAAUAAAUAAAACUUUCAACAAUGGAUCUCUUGGCUCUCGUAUCGAUGAAGAACGCAGCGAAUUGCGAUAAGUAGUGUGAAUUGCAAAAUCUGUGAAUCAUCGAAUCUUUGAACGCAUAUUGCGCUCUCUGGUAUUCCGGAGAGAAUGCCUGUUUGAGGGUAAUUAAAAAGAAAUCUUUAAUCUCUUUUGAGGUUAAAGGAUAUGGGUAUUCCGUGUCAUUAGCGGUAACCUGAAAUAAAUAGUAGUCUUCAUCUAGUCGAGACGCGUAAUAAUAUUAUUUCGUGAAACGAUUAAUGAGCUACUUAGUUUUAAUGACUCUAAUAAUUCAUUAGAUUUGUUAAAACAAAUAAAUUUUGACAUUACCUCAAAUCAGGUAAGACUACCCGCUGAACUUAAGCAUAUCAAUAAGCGGAGGAAAAGAAACUAACCAGGAUUCCCCUAGUAACGGCGAGUGAAGCGGGAAAAGUUCAAAUUUUAAAUCAGACUGACUUGUCGGUCCGAGUUGUAAUUUGAAGAAAUGUUAUCAAGUCAUUUUGAUCGAAUCCAAGUUCCUUGGAAUAGGACAUCAAAGAGGGUGAGAAUCCCGUCUAGAUUCGAACAAGUGGCGAUAUGUUAACUUUUCUAAGAGUCGAGUUGUUUGGGAUUGCAGCUCAAAAUGGGUGGUAAAUUCCAUCUAAGGCUAAAUAUAGACGAGAGGCCGAUAGCGAACAAGUACCGCGAGGGAAAGAUGAAAAGAACUUUGAAAAGAGAGUUAAAUAGUACGUGAAAUUGUUGAAAGGGAAACGAUUAAAGUCAGUAGUGCCGGCGGGAAAUCAACUUACAGGUUACUGUGAGUGCACUUUUUCGCAAGGCAGGUUAGCAUCGGUUUUGGUCGUGUUAAAAUGAGAGCAGGAAGGUGGCUCCCUCGGGAGUGUUAUAGCCUGUUCUAGAUGACAUGGACAAGACCGAGGAUUGCAGCGAACACCUUUAGGUUACUGAUCUGGCCUCUGUGAAUGGCUCGCCUACCUUGAGCUUGCUCGAGUCUGGUUGGUUUAUUUACAAUAGGUUCAGAAUCAGAUAAAUUCGCUAAGGAUGCUGACGUAAUGGCUUUAAACGACCCGUCUUGAAACGCGGACCAAGGAG